This 274-nucleotide ribosomal RNA is filed under the name uncultured bacterium. RNAcentral describes it as "partial 16S ribosomal RNA". It matches the Rfam family "Bacterial small subunit ribosomal RNA", at positions 523 to 796 of the family's 1533-position model. The record is from RNAcentral.
AUACGGAGGGUGCGAGCGUUAAUCGGAAUUACUGGGCGUAAAGCGUACGUAGGCGGUUGGUUAAGUUAGAUGUGAAAGCCCCGGGCUUAACCUGGGAACUGCAUUUAAAACUGGCGAACUAGAGUUGAGUAGAGGGGAGUGGAAUUUCAGGUGUAGCGGUGAAAUGCGUAGAGAUCCGAAUGAACACCAGUGGCGAAGGCGACUACCUGGACUCGAACUGACGCUGAGGUACGAAAGCGUGGGUAGCAAACGGGAUUAGAUACCCUAGUAGUCC